UAGCAUAAUCAUUAGUUUUUUAAUUGAAAGCUUGUAUGAAUGGUUAAACAAAAGAAGUUCUGUCUCUUUUUUAAAAAUUGAAUUUAACUUUUAAGUGAAAAGGCUUAAAUUUUUUAGGGGGACGAUAAGACCCUAUAAAGCUUUAUAAAAAAGUUAAUAAUUUCUGAAAAUAAUUUAUAUAAUGAAUUUAUUUUUUUUUAUUUUGUUGGGGCGAUUCAAAUAUAAAUAUAAUUAACUGUUAGAUUUAAAUACAUAGAUUCAUGUAGUUUAAAUGAUCCUGGUUAUAGAUUAAAAGACAAAGUUACUUUAGGGAUAACAGCGUUAUUUCUUUUAAGAGUUCUUAUUGAAAAAAAAGUUUGCGACCUCGAUGUUGAAUUAAAAUAUCUCUACAGUGUACCCGUUGUAGGAAAA
This 411-nucleotide ribosomal RNA is filed under the name Libinia spinosa. RNAcentral's name for it is "partial large subunit ribosomal RNA". The record is from RNAcentral. Lineage: Eukaryota; Metazoa; Arthropoda; Malacostraca; Decapoda; Majidae.